CCGUGAGAAACCCCUCCAUGUGUUCCUCUGUUUGCCGUGGAGACCUAGGUGUGAGGAAUCUCACUAGUAGAGAGAAUCCCAGGUGGAUGGUAGUCUCUCUCCCUCUUAGUGCAUGCAGCCCCUUCCACCCGUGCAUGAAGAGAGAGGAGAUAUGGGGUGCACCUCCAUUUUCUCUUCCUAGGAGGCGCACCCCCCUAGGGCUCCUUGCUGCAUGAAAGACCAGAGAGAGAGG
RNAcentral lists this long non-coding RNA (232 nucleotides) under Elaeis guineensis (African oil palm). Its description in RNAcentral is "long non-coding RNA (EGUI_LNC046332)". The record is from RNAcentral. Lineage: Eukaryota; Viridiplantae; Streptophyta; Magnoliopsida; Arecales; Arecaceae.